RNAcentral lists this unclassified non-coding RNA (379 nucleotides) under uncultured bacterium. Its description in RNAcentral is "contains 16S-23S intergenic spacer region". The record is from RNAcentral.
UCCGGUUUGUCACCGGCAGUCUCAUUAGAGUGCCCAACUGAAUGUAGCAACUAAUGACAAGGGUUGCGCUCGUUGCGGGACUUAACCCAACAUCUCACGACACGAGCUGACGACGGCCAUGCAGCACCUGUGUUCCGAUUCCCUUUCGGGCACACCCCCAUCUCUGGAGGCUCUCGGACAUGUCAAGGGUAGGUAAGGUUCUUCGCGUUGCGUCGAAUUAAACCACAUGCUCCGCUGCUUGUGCGGGCCCCCGUCAAUUCCUUUGAGUUUUAGCCUUGCGGCCGUACUCCCCAGGCGGGGUGCUUAAUGCGUUAGCUUCGGCACGGACCCCGUUGGUUAGGGCCCACACCUAGUGCCCAACGUUUACGGCGUGGACUAC